UGUCCGGGUUCCUGUAUCCACAGGAGGAGGCGCCGUUAGAGCGCCGGGAGCCCAGAGCCCUGGGGCGGAGGGGUCACCCAGCCCCACGCGGCGCACCGGCAGAAGGCGUGGCCGCCCAGUCCCCAGUUCCGCGCUUGCUCGGCAGUCACGUUCCGUCUCUUAGGUUGCUCACUCUGGAGGAAGCCAGCCACUAUGUUGUGAGGACACACAUGCAGCCCUGCAGAGAAGCCCACAUAGGGAGAAAGGAAAGCGUCCUGCUGACAGCCAGUGCCAAUUGGACAGCCACAUGAAUGAGCUGCCUUGGAAGUGGAUACUGCAGCCCUGACUGACAUUUGGCUUGCAAUCUUAUGAAAGACCUCAAGGCAAAACUGACCAUCAGAAGCUGUGAUAAAUCAUCAUUAAAUGUUGUUGCUUUAAGCCACAA
This is a long non-coding RNA of Symphalangus syndactylus (siamang), 424 nucleotides long. RefSeq lists it as uncharacterized. The record is from RefSeq and is a predicted model, not a curated record. Lineage: Eukaryota; Metazoa; Chordata; Mammalia; Primates; Hylobatidae.